GAAUGUAAAAGCUAUUAUAUGCAUUGAUCAGAAAAUUUAAUCCAUAAUGUAUAUGCAAAGUCACUAGUCCUUACUCCUAGGUUGGCUUGAACUCUGUCAAUUAAUGAAAACAAUUAUCCACUAAGGGACAGGUCUUGAAAUCUAUAUAUACUACAAACUUUGGAACGCAGAGAAAAAUCACAUCACCAAGUGUGGAUAAGAAACCCUAGAAGUAAUCUAUCCUGUAUAUUUUGACAAGUGUUAAAUAUUUCAAGAGAGUUCCAUUCUUAGUGCUUAUUGGAAGAAAUUUCAGAUAAAAUUGACCAUUUACUAAAACUAGGAAUUGGGGAAGUAAUGAAAAUUAAUUGCAAAUUUUAGACAAAAGCAACAACGCUAGAUAAAUAACCCAAACUGAUAUUCUUUGUUUUCCAGCUCAGAUGUUUAGACCUACUUUUUUAACUUCCUUGUUAACUGGGGGAUUCUCAGAUUGCAACUGCUGACCCUGUUUAAGAGAUUUCCUUGAAUAAUGCUUUUAGUCCAUGACUGCAAAACAUUUGCUGUAGACAAGGAGUGCCCAAAAGGUAGAUCCGCAGAUGUUGUAGAACUAAAACUCCCAUGAUGCUUUGCAUGCCUCGAAUGCCUUUAGAAUGGCAAAGCAUCAUGGAAGCUGUAGUUUUAAAACAUUUCAAUCUACCUUUUGGGCACCCCUCUUGUAGACAAAUAUGGCAUGUAUAAUUAUGAUAUACAGAAUAUGUUUGAAAUGAGUGUAACAAACCCAAAACUCUGAGGAACCUAGAGCAGAGACAAUAACCUUGGUACUAUUGCACCUCAGAUAUUCAUUAACUAUUUCCCAUGAUGCUUAAGGAGUUCUCUAGGGUUCUCGACGUAACAGACUUUGCUUAUUUCACAUUUGUGACAAUCUGCAUUGCUUUGCACAGAAAUUGUCAUUUAUUCUCCACAGCUCUGGGCUGGAUGACUAUAAUUACAAAUGUAGGUUAACAGCUUUAACAAACUAUUUGAUUUUGUCUUUGUUUCAACCCAUAAAUCACAUUUUGAUUGAUUCAAGAUGGGUUAUAAAUUGCAAAAUACUAUAAUUAAGCCAAUGUCGGAUAAACAGGUCGCCUAAGCAAUUCUUACAGGAUUUUUAUCUUAAGUGUGAAUGGUCAGGGUUUCACCUUACAAAUGUUGGGCCAAAAGAAGUGAAACUAGAAAAAUAGCUGACUUAUUCCAAUUCAGCACAGAACUGCUUAUCUAUGCUGUGCUGGGGUAUUAUAUCAGACAGUGGUAUCCUCCAUCUCUAUUAGAGCAGAGCAGACAGAGGAACAGAGAAAAAAAAUCUGUGCAAAUGAAAAAAAGUUCUCCAGCAUCUUGACGUUAUCUUUAUAUCUGAACCUCUUUAUGGUAUGGUAGUACCAGUGUGAGGCCUUGUAGUGCAUAUAUAAGCUGUGCAUUGUACACACGCCUACAUACAUACACACAUAUUUACAUUUGCCAUUUCAAAACUAUUAGUCCACAAAUAUGAAAUUAAUGUAUUUGCACUGUAAUAUUUAUUAAAAGAAAAUAAAAAUAAGUAUUUAUGACCCACUUGUGAAAAUAACAUUUUAUGCUAUUUAAUAUUUAUAUUGUCGCAAGCUAAACUAUGAUGUGAUUGUUAUUUAUUAAUGUAUUUAAUUUGUAGUGGUUAUGUUCAGAUUAUUCUUGAAUGAGACACUUAAUGACAUACUGUAUCAAUUCCUCAUCAGGUAGAUUCCCUGUUAAAUUUGCUAUACUCUGUAUGCCUUUGCUUAACAAUGUGGUACUAACUAUUAAUAUCGUAGUAACUACUAUUCCUGAUCCGCAUGGGUAUAAUGGACUCCCCAUACUGAAUGAUGCAGAAAAUAUGGUAUAUAAUAGUAACUACCUAUUCUUGGAACUUACCCAGGGUCAGCAGUUGUAAAUAAGUGAAUGAUAGUGGAUUAGAAAUUCCAAUUAUCUUUUUCUGGUACCCAUAACACUGUUAAAUAUAAGCAUUACUGCCCAUACUCUUUAACAGCUGUAGUUCCUCACUGCAGCCUAUUUUUACAGUUCUAUAUUGACAGUUUUUGUAUUCUAAAAUCCUGCAAUAAAAU
RNAcentral lists this long non-coding RNA (2087 nucleotides) under Pelobates cultripes (western spadefoot toad). Lineage: Eukaryota; Metazoa; Chordata; Amphibia; Anura; Pelobatidae. The record is from RNAcentral.